CUGGGCUGCGGAGACCAGAGCCCGGCUCCACUGAAGAAACCCGCCGGCUGCUGGGGCAGGGCGGCGAAAGGUCAGUCGGCCGAGAGGAGUCCGUGGAGCCACCGUUUCAUAGCCUCAGGGAAAGGAUCGGGCGUGCUCACGAGCCCUCUAACCCAUGGCUUAAACACCCGCUUCCUAAGCCUGGUUCCUGAAUAUAUCACAUGUGGUGAUAAACAUGAAGAUGUAUGAAAAAUUGUGUUCGUUGAGAGAAAAUGGAAGGCUUUUCAUUCUACUUCCACAUUUUCAUUCCAGCAGCUUUUCUGUUUUGGAAGAUGAGUACUGAAUCUUGCAAUGAAAUUUUUUUAACUUAAACAAGACAAGGAAAAUGAAGCGCAGAGACGUUAAAUAACUCUCUCAAGGUCAUGCAGCUGAGAAGAGAUGAGACUUGAACUCCAGUGCCAGCCCUGUUAAUCACUAUUCUGUACUGUCUUUCAGAUGGAAUGAUAGGGUAUGCAUAAAUGUUCAUGUGGGCUCUGGAGUAUACCAGGAACUGAAGUAAGGUACAUGGACGUCUUGAAUAUUGUAACUGAGAUGGGCAAGCCUACACCUUUGCAAAUAAAGGAGGAUUGGGAAAGAUUAAGAUCCUGUUAAACGUCAGUGUUACUAUUUAGCCUUUGAUAUCUCCAGUAAAGGCAACUUCUUUCUGGACCCAGAAAUAAAGCUUUACAUUAGCAGCUUCCAUAACACCAAUAACAUGAAUGACCAUCUACUGAGCAAUUGCAGUGCACCAGGAUUAUGGCUUAUGAGCACUUUAUGUUUAUUAUCUCACAACUCACUGAGUUAGAUACUCUCCACAACCCAGUGAGGUAAAUACUAUUACUUCCACAGUAUAUAUUAUUAUAUAAUAAAAUGCUUAGAAUAUACACACAGUAACUAAACACUACUUAUAAAAUAUGGCUCUAGAUAUGUUUGAUAAAUAUUUCCUUCAUGAAAACAUGGAGGAAUUAAUUAGCAGUAUCUCUCUGCAGCCUUUAGCCCUCGAGAAUCAUGUAGAAAAGAGGAGCUGUCUUCUCUUUUAGCAGAACAUCUGUCAGAGAUGGUUUCCCCUGACUUAGACAAUUGUGUUUUUUUCCCUUCAGAAUGAUUGAGUCUCAGAAUUGUUCUUUAAUCCUCAGUAUUUCCAUUAAGAAGAGCUUCUAUCAAGUGCUUCAAAAGUACCCAAUGUGAAGGAGUAAUAAUGACUCCCUGCUGGUGAGCGAAGUGUGGAGGACACAGGUCCCUCAGCCGUCCACUGGAUGCUGCACUGUUUGGCCUGAGCCAACAUGGGCAGAAAUACAGGCGGCAGCAUAAGCAGAUGCCAAGAACCUGUCUUGCUUCUACUGUUUUCAUUGGGUUACUAUAUCUCCUUUGUAGUCCAACCUGCAAAUUACUUUGAGAAGGGGAGAUACACCCCUGGACCAAUCUAGGACUAUAUUUGUUCCCUUGCUAAAGUAGGAAAAAAAAUACAGAACCUUUAAAUAUUGAACUCAAGGGCAACUAAUUUAAAUUCCUUUCCUUUCAUGUUGAAAGUCUUUUGACUGGGUUAUUCUGAAGCCAUAGCAAUUAGGUUACAGUUUACUUCUCUGUUACUUUACCAUCUUUAAAUUUG
Molecule: long non-coding RNA, 1627 nt
Filed under: Homo sapiens (human)
Lineage: Eukaryota; Metazoa; Chordata; Mammalia; Primates; Hominidae
Description: PREDICTED lncRNA (TCONS_00006014)
Source: RNAcentral